GCUUCAAGAGUUCUAGCCCCAAAAAUUUGACUAGCCCUGUACCGAUCAGGUUUCUCCAAGAACUUGACUCAACUCUCUUAGACCUUUCUCUGAACUUCUAAUUCUCCUUCUUUAGGAUCCUCGCAACCCUUAUUAAGAUUAGAUAAGGCUUUGUCUUAAAUCCCAAAGCCUUAUCCUAAAACUAACAUAGGUUGUAAGAAAGAAGAGAGAGCUACGGAGAGAAAUUGGAA
Molecule: long non-coding RNA, 230 nt
Filed under: Elaeis guineensis (African oil palm)
Lineage: Eukaryota; Viridiplantae; Streptophyta; Magnoliopsida; Arecales; Arecaceae
Description: long non-coding RNA (EGUI_LNC010083)
Source: RNAcentral